Chiloscyllium plagiosum (whitespotted bambooshark) is the source of this 2381-nucleotide non-coding RNA. The record is from RefSeq and is a predicted model, not a curated record. NCBI's taxonomy places the organism in Eukaryota, Metazoa, Chordata, Chondrichthyes, Orectolobiformes, Hemiscylliidae.
UUAGAGCUGUCACUUCGACAGAUAUGCUAUCUGGUUUUGCUACGAAGAACUUUAGGAAGUAUCUAAACCUUUAUUUUCUGUGCAGGAGCUGUGGACGCGAACUGGUUCUUCUAAAUGUUCAAUAUCACUAUCUGAAUUUUCCUGUGAUUUGUCUCUGUGGAUCAUCUUGUAAACUACCUUUGUCGAUCCUUGGCGUGAGGGUGAACGGCUCAAUGGUUUCAAUGUUGUUAAUUCAUCUUCAGUAAGGAGUGGUGACACAAGCCCAUCAAGGCCACCAGAAGGUGAUCUUCGUGGAGAUCUGCGUCUGCUGAUCACAAAGGCUCCGCCCAUGUGUUCUUCUUUGCGGACAGCUUCCACCUGCUUAUGAUGGGAACUGUUUAUCCCAGCAGACAUGCACUGGAAAAUGGGAUACAGUAUCUUUGGAUUGGAAUUCAACUUUAAUCAGUACUGAGAGGGUACAGGAAACGAUGAGUAUGUUCCAGGAAGAAACUGUUUCCACUCAUACAAUGAUCAAGAACACAAGGGCACAGUUUUAAAGUGGUUUGGAGAAGAAAUCAAUGUGAAUGUGAGAAAUCUGCCUGGAAUUAUGAAGAAAACAAGUUCAAUCAAGCCAUGCCUGAAAUUGUGAUGGAGGCAAGUUUAAUUGAGGCAUCCAAGAGGACAUUAGAUAAUUAUUUACACAGAAAUAAUAUUCAAGGUUAUAAAAAAUGUUCAAAUUACAGUAAGCCAUGAUAUUCAUUUGGAGAGUUGAUGCAGACAUGAUGGGCCAAAUGGCCUUUUUCUGCACCAUAAUAAUUCUGUCAUUUAAAACAAAGGUUCAAAUUAAAUAUUACGGAAAGUUCAAUAAAAUUCAACUUUUCCAUAUAGUAUAUUGCACUCUGAAGUGGCUCAGUACAAUUUCAAUUGUUUAGGUAUUUACAAGAUAGGUUGCAUAUCAGGCAUACAGACCAAGGUCCAUUGGUUUUUUUCCAGUCCACCAGUAGCCUAAGAGAACAUUUAGUUUUCCAAGAAGGUGCAAUAUUUUGAAGAGAUUGUCCUCCCAAAUGUACAGAACAUAUCCCAUGACAUUUAAAAGAACAACUAGACACCUUUUGGUGACCAAUAUUUAUGUCACAACAAAUGACUAAAAGAAAUAAUCUGAUCAUUUAUCUCACUGCAUUUGUAGGAACUGUAAAUGAAAAAAUGGUUGAUCCAUUUUAUGUCAGACAACAGUGACUACAAUCAAGUAGUAAUUAAUUGACUGUGAAGCAUAUUGAGAUAUCCUGUAGUCAUGAAAGGUAUUGUGUCCAUUCAAAUUUUUUGCUUUUAAUGAAUAAAGGAACCACUACUGUGCUAUGUUGGGAAGAAAUUUCUAGAUAAAACCCACAUUUGCUAAUAUUGCAAAAUUUCAUGUUUGACUCAAGCACGGGAAAAUCCAAAAUAGCCUUAAUUUAGCAGCUCUGGGUGCUACUUAACCUUAUCCCAAUGUUAUCCAAAUAAGUUAAUUUUGCUUUGACAAAUUCACUUUUUUAGCCAGAUUUAAGACCAAAAUGGCUUGCAGCAGAUAGCAUAGCUUUUAUAAAUGGUGUAAAUAUAAUUCCCAAGUUGGGCUGAAGUUGUUGAUGCUAACAAAGUGGUUACAGAUUACUUCAAUGACUUUGGUUAAUCAUUGGAAAGCUGUUGGUGCAUUUUGCAUUCCAUAAAUAAAGUUCACGUUAUGUUACAGAUUCUUCCUUGGUUUUAUCAUCAAUGGAACUUGCCAAUAUCCUUUAGCAAGUCAAUUUUUAUGAUGAAUUUUGCAUGUUCAAUUAUUUCAUUGAGUAACUUUAUUGAUGGAAUAGAUUAACAGUCCACUCUUGACUUGGAGAUAACAUAUAUCUGUGUGACUCAUCUCGUUUCAGUAUCAUCAUGUUAAGCGAGCUCCAGCUACUUUGACUUUGUUCAAUAAUGUCAUUGUCCAAUGUGAACUUAAUCUCGUCCCCCUACUUAAGCUAACUUUUCUGUAUUGUAUCUGCGAGGCAUUAUUUAACGGAUAAUUAAAUUCUAACAUUAAAGUCAUGUAUAGCCAAUUACAUUUUUUGGCAUAUUUACAUAAAAUGAUUUAUGAGUCUGUUAAAGCCUUUGUAAGUCAUUGAUAGUUUUCCAGAAGUCAGCACAACAUUCUAUCUAACAUUUUAAGUACACUGUUAUUAUCCAAUUUGAUUACUGGAGAGUCAACAUUUAAAUUUUCAAUUUCUGGUUCAUUCUAGAAUUGUUCUGUGAUUUUAUAUUUUGUCCUUUACUUCUUUCAUUAUCAUAAAUACACUUUUUACCUUACUAUCCUCCCUGUCAUAUUAUUAUCUCUAACGUCUCAAGGAGUCUGUUGACACCAACAAUGCAAUGAUAAAUUCUGACUAUGCACG